CCAACAGGGAUUGCCUUAGUAACGGCGAGUGAAGCGGCAAAAGCUCAAAUUUGAAACCAAUCUCUGAUGUUCGAGUUGUAAUUUGGAGAGACAACUUCUGGAGGGACCCAGUCUAUGUGCCUUGGAACAGGACAUCAUAGAGGGUGAGAAUCCCGUUCUUGGCUGGAUGUUCCCUCCUCCAUGUAGUGUCUUCUACGAGUCGAGUUGUUUGGGAAUGCAGCUCAAAAUGGGUGGUAAAUUUCAUCUAAAGCUAAAUACUGGCGAGAGACCGAUAGCGCACAAGUAGAGUGAUCGAAAGAUGAAAAGCACUUUGAAAAUAGAGUCAAAAAGUACGUGAAAUUGUUGAAAGGGAAGCGCUUGAGAUCAGAGUCAGCCUUUGGCAAACAACUGUCCUUAUGGGCAGUGCACUUGUCAUUGGUUGGGUCAGCAUCGGUUGGGAUGGUGGGAUAAAGGCUUGGGAAAUGUGACUCCUUUAUGGAGUGUUAUAGUCCCGGGUGGCAUGCCAUCAGUCUCGACCGUGGACCGCGCCUCGGCUCGGAUGCUGGCUUAAUGGUCUUCAGCGACCCGUCUUGAAACACGGACCAGGAGUCUAACGUCUAUGCAAGUGUUUG
This 611-nucleotide ribosomal RNA is filed under the name Tuber sp. 47 GB-2010. Its description in RNAcentral is "eukaryotic LSU rRNA". It matches the Rfam family "Eukaryotic large subunit ribosomal RNA", at positions 65 to 696 of the family's 3401-position model. Lineage: Eukaryota; Fungi; Ascomycota; Pezizomycetes; Pezizales; Tuberaceae. The record is from RNAcentral.